RNAcentral lists this long non-coding RNA (1239 nucleotides) under Musa acuminata (dwarf banana). RNAcentral's name for it is "long non-coding RNA (MACU_LNC011234)". The record is from RNAcentral. Lineage: Eukaryota; Viridiplantae; Streptophyta; Magnoliopsida; Zingiberales; Musaceae.
GACUUAGUAGUAUAUUUAAAUUAAUAUUUAAAUAUUCUAGUUUAUUAGUUGUAGACUAUAAUUAAGUCUAAGUAUUAUUGGCAAGUUUCAAGUCUUUUAGACUUUUUCUGAUUAGUUAUCUCAAUUGUUUGUUUCACAGAACUUUCAGUAAUUAAGCCUAUCCUCAAGUAUACUUCCAGUAGUUAUCUUCACUGAUCUGAUCAAGGUCUAAUACACUAAAUACAAAUUGCAUAUGCUCAAGUCAUUUAAUUCAGAAAAUAUAGGGAUAUUUAUAAGAAUACAAUAAAGGAAGUAUGAUAAUAUAAUAGUAUCACUAUGAUAAUAUAAUAUUAAUGCUUUAAGUUCUUCAAUAAAUGUUGAACUAUUGAUAUCAUCUCUAUUUCAUCUUGGGUAAAAUAUUGGCAUAGUUAGUGUUCACAUAAAAUUAUUUAUGAAUGACUUAUAACAUCGUCAUGAAAUAAUAUUGUUACAUUUGGAAAUACAACCCUAAACUGUAAGGAUAUCAAAAACAGUAUUAUCCUACCCUAUCACAUAAUUAUUCAAAAUAGAUUCUCCUUUGGGAUUAUCUAAAUCUCCUAAUCAUGUAUGAUAUUUUGAAUAUUAUUUUUUAAUAUUAUUUAUGACUAAUUCUUUAAUAUAAUUUUAUAGGUUAUUGGUCCAAAUCACUUUGGUGGCUACAUAACCAAAUUUAAAAUAUCAUAUAAAUGAUAAGACUUUUAUUGUAAUUCACAUUCCAUAAGCCUAAUAUCCCAGGUUAUGAAAGGACAUUUGUACCCUCAAUGAUGUAGCGAUUGUGCAGUGUCAAUGUGUACAACGAUUGCAGCAGCAUUGCUGCUACUGAUUGUAGUAGCUGUGAUAGCAUCGUUGCUAGAAGCCAACAUCAACUGGAUGCCGGCAACCGCACAUAGGUGGCGAUUGCACCACGCGCAAUGGCUGUGACUGGCAGCUACGACACCUUGCAUAGUGGUUGUGGGUGACAGUCAUGUCGCGUGCAGACGAUGAUUGUUGCAAUUUACAUUGCAACAACGACGCAUUACGUAGUGGCUGUAGUGCCUCACCCAGGUGGCGGUCGGGCACUACAACGAUCAUGACCCUCUCAAGUGGCGACCACCCUUAAUGACACUAUCACCAAUAACAAACUAUCGAUAGUGAUCCAUCAAUCAAACAUAAGAAACCUUACAUCAUUUGCAAGCAAGUGAUAAGAUAAAUUGAAUAGAAAAACAUAUCGACAAUACUAAC